AGAUAAUGCUCCUCUCGCGUUAUCCUCGCAACGACAGCGCUGAGAGGGUACUUUCACAGAAUACUUACAAAUGUUCAUGCUGCCAUCUACCAACUGGCAUUCAAGGUGAUGGUUCAAGAUAAGUACCAACAUCUGUCUGAAUAAAAGAAAAUGCCCAAUGGGAGAAAUGUAGGGUGUUACACAAAGGUCUGUUCUCUUGGUGUUUUGAGCCAAAGCCUAGAGUGCAGCUGUUCAAACUGGCAUGCUGCUUGAAAGGAUUGUCCAGCGCAUGUACAAUUAGAUAUUGCAAAUCAUUUCAGCAGCUAUUGCUUUUGACGUAAUCCCUAAUUUGGGAUUAAUAAAAGGCUGAGCAUAGUGA
This is a long non-coding RNA of Varanus komodoensis (Komodo dragon), 358 nucleotides long. RefSeq lists it as uncharacterized. Lineage: Eukaryota; Metazoa; Chordata; Lepidosauria; Squamata; Varanidae. The record is from RefSeq and is a predicted model, not a curated record. The transcript is spliced from 3 exons.